This 435-nucleotide long non-coding RNA is filed under the name Capra hircus (goat). RNAcentral describes it as "lncRNA (ENSCHIG00010022385.1)". Lineage: Eukaryota; Metazoa; Chordata; Mammalia; Artiodactyla; Bovidae. The record is from RNAcentral.
AUGUUUCUUGAUGUUUUAGAAUGUCUUUCAAAGGGUUAUGCCUUGAGACACGCAACCAUAGAUGGAAGGAAAGGUAGAGAUUCAUUGGUCUUGCUUCAAGCUCUGUUAGAAUUAAAAUGGGUGAGAUUACUUUUCUAUCCUUCCAUAUUUAUAAUUAACUCUAUUAAAGGGCUUUCAUUUUCUCCACCACCAAGAGAAGGACUCUGCCAGGAGGAAGGACUCCUUGCCAUGUCUGCUGUAACGAGGCCAAGUUAUAAACAGAUGCAGAUAACUGAGGCAAACAAGUGCACUGGCCAGGUGUCACAUUUCCACUUUACAUGCAGCUGCCAUUUUGGAAAAUGGUUACACUGGUCUGAACCUGUCACACCAGUCUUAGCCACGAGGAAGGCUCAGCAGGUGAGAGUCUGGCGGGCAGCCCAUGGUGGUCGGGCCUGA